RNAcentral lists this ribosomal RNA (469 nucleotides) under uncultured bacterium. RNAcentral's name for it is "partial 16S ribosomal RNA". It matches the Rfam family "Bacterial small subunit ribosomal RNA", at positions 27 to 507 of the family's 1533-position model. The record is from RNAcentral.
GGAUGAACGCUGGCGGCGUGCUUACCCCAUGCAAGUCGAACGGAAAGGCCCAAGCUUGCUUGGGUACUCGAGUGGCGAACGGGUGAGUAACACGUGGGUGAUCUGCCCUGCACUUCGGGAUAAGCCUGGGAAACUGGGUCUAAUACCGGAUAGGACGAUGGUUUGGAUGCCAUUGUGGAAAGUUUUUUCGGUGUGGGAUGAGCUCGCGGCCUAUCAGCUUGUUGGUGGGGUAAUGGCCUACCAAGGCGUCGACGGGUAGCCGGCCUGAGAGGGUGUACGGCCACAUUGGGACUGAGAUACGGCCCAGACUCCUACGGGAGGCAGCAGUGGGGAAUAUUGCACAAUGGGCGCAAGCCUGAUGCAGCGACGCCGCGUGGGGGAUGACGGCCUUCGGGUUGUAAACUCCUUUCGCUAGGGACGAAGCGUUUUUGUGACGGUACCUGGAGAAGAAGCACCGGCUAACUACGUG